Non-coding RNA from Pelobates cultripes (western spadefoot toad), 213 nucleotides. NCBI's taxonomy places the organism in Eukaryota, Metazoa, Chordata, Amphibia, Anura, Pelobatidae. The record is from the annotation of a GenBank genome assembly.
GCAUUGUUUACAUUGCGCCUAGGGACACCUCCAAGUGGCCACACCUUAGAGGCCACUGGAGGUGCUUCCUGGCUCAGUGCUGCAGAGUAGGCAGCUCUGCCAUUCAGCUUCCCCACACUCUGAAUGGGGGUGCUGAAUUGUCCUCAUAGAGAUGCAUUGAUUCAAUGCAUCUCUAUGAGGAGGUGCUGAUUGGCCAAAAUGGUGUUUGACCCU